GCGAAAUACAAGGAGAGACACAAUUAUAUUCAUUGCAAGUGAAAAUUAAAGCAAUAAAUCUAAAAAAUGAAAUGACCCUCUGUCACUAUCAGUGUGUCACUAUUAGUGUUCACACUGAAUAAGAUGAGCAACUGGAGAGUCAUGAAUAUGAUCAGGUCUCUGAUCAGUCAAUGGCAAAACAAUGGGAGUUCUGGGCUGCUCUUCUCCACCAUGGAAACAAAAGGGGUUUUGGCGUCAGGUACCAGCGGAGGCAGCACAAGCUGUAUGGGGCUCUAUGUAACAUAGGGUGGAGGGGGAGAAAAAUGUGCUGGGAGCCAGAAAGGGCUGCCAGUACCAGCUGUUAUGAUACCAAACAGGAAGACGAGCUGUCCAUGCAUUCCUGCCAACUCUGAGGUCCAGUCUGUGGCCAGAAUGGAACUGAGCACUGCAAUGCAUUGUCUCAUUCCUGAUCAAGUUCUCUCCCCAGGGAGCACUAAUGGGCUAAUGGCCACAGAAGUCUGUUUUGUUCUCUAAAUGAGCAGGAUCAAAGUGUGCUUGCUCUGUGUAAAACUCAACACUACUUCUGACUUCCUCAGAGGACUGCUAUCGCUCUCCUGUACCUUUGAUGACGCUUCAGAGCUUCUUUUCCAACCUCUUCAAAAUACUUAACAGGCUUUAAGGAAAAAAUACAGUUCAUUGAAGGAAAAAGACAUUCAUCUGAAUCCCAAGAUUAAAGAGGGCACAACCUACUAACCAAACACAAUACUAAGGGUUCUGGGAGAGCAAUUUGUAUAAUUGUUU
RNAcentral lists this long non-coding RNA (780 nucleotides) under Vulpes vulpes (red fox). Its description in RNAcentral is "lncRNA (ENSVVUG00000021189.1)". The record is from RNAcentral. Lineage: Eukaryota; Metazoa; Chordata; Mammalia; Carnivora; Canidae.